This 21-nucleotide small RNA is filed under the name Arabidopsis thaliana (thale cress). Its description in RNAcentral is "AGO1_4847". Lineage: Eukaryota; Viridiplantae; Streptophyta; Magnoliopsida; Brassicales; Brassicaceae. The record is from RNAcentral.
UCCCUGUCUACUAUCCAGCGA